UACGUAGGGUGCGAGCGUUGUCCGGAAUUAUUGGGCGUAAAGAGCUUGUAGGCGGUUUGUCGCGUCUGCUGUGAAAAUCCGGGGCUCAACCCCGGACUUGCAGUGGGUACGGGCAGACUAGAGUGUGGUAGGGGAGACUGGAAUUCCUGGUGUAGCGGUGGAAUGCGCAGAUAUCAGGAGGAACACCGGUGGCGAAGGCGGGUCUCUGGGCCGUUACUGACGCUGGAGGAGCGAAAGCGUGGGGAGCGAACAGG
RNAcentral lists this ribosomal RNA (254 nucleotides) under uncultured bacterium. Its description in RNAcentral is "partial 16S ribosomal RNA". It matches the Rfam family "Bacterial small subunit ribosomal RNA", at positions 524 to 776 of the family's 1533-position model. The record is from RNAcentral.